This 446-nucleotide ribosomal RNA is filed under the name uncultured bacterium. RNAcentral's name for it is "bacterial SSU rRNA". It matches the Rfam family "Bacterial small subunit ribosomal RNA", at positions 15 to 507 of the family's 1533-position model. The record is from RNAcentral.
GAUCAUGGCUCAGAACGAACGCUGGCGGCAUGCCUAACACAUGCAAGUCGAACGAGACCUUCGGGUCUAGUGGCGCACGGGUGCGUAACGCGUGGGAAUCUGCCCUGGGGUGCGGAAUAACUCGGAGAAAUCCGUGCUAAUACCGCAUAAUGUCUUCGGACCAAAGAUUUAUCGCCCUGGGAUGAGCCCGCGUAGGAUUAGCUAGUUGGUGGGGUAAAGGCCUACCAAGGCGACGAUCCUUAGCUGGUCUGAGAGGAUGAUCAGCCACACUGGGACUGAGACACGGCCCAGACUCCUACGGGAGGCAGCAGUGGGGAAUAUUGGACAAUGGGCGAAAGCCUGAUCCAGCAAUGCCGCGUGAGUGAUGAAGGCCCUAGGGUUGUAAAGCUCUUUUACCCGGGAUGAUAAUGACAGUACCGGGAGAAUAAGCUCCGGCUAACUCCGUG